GUCUACGGCCAUGCCACCCUGAACAAGCCCGAUCCCAUCUGAUCUCGGAAGCUAAGCAGGGUCAGGCCUCGUUAGUACUUGGAUGGGAGACCACCUAGGAAGCCCAGAUACUGUAGGUG
This 119-nucleotide ribosomal RNA is filed under the name Pteropus alecto (black flying fox). The record is from RNAcentral. Lineage: Eukaryota; Metazoa; Chordata; Mammalia; Chiroptera; Pteropodidae.